AGUGAACGCUGGCGGUAGGCCUAACACAUGCAAGUCGAACGGCAGCACAGUAAGAGCUUGCUCUUACGGGUGGCGAGUGGCGGACGGGUGAGGAAUACAUCGGAAUCUACUUUUUCGUGGGGGAUAACGUAGGGAAACUUACGCUAAUACCGCAUACGACCUACGGGUGAAAGCAGGGGAUCUUCGGACCUUGCGCGAUUGAAUGAGCCGAUGUCGGAUUAGCUAGUUGGGGGGGUAAAGGCCCACCAAGGCGACGAUCCGUAGCUGGUCUGAGAGGAUGAUCAGCCACACUGGAGCUGAGACACGGUCCAGACUCCUACGGGAGGCAGCAGUGGGGAAUAUUGGACAAUGGGCGCAAGCCUGAUCCAGCCAGACCGCGUGGGUGAAGAAGGCCUUCGGGUUGUAAAGCCCUUUUGUUGGGAAAGAAAAGCAGCAGGUUAAUACCCCGCUGUUCUGACGGUACCCAAUGAAUAAGCACCGGCUAACUUCGUG
RNAcentral lists this ribosomal RNA (492 nucleotides) under uncultured bacterium. RNAcentral's name for it is "partial 16S ribosomal RNA". It matches the Rfam family "Bacterial small subunit ribosomal RNA", at positions 29 to 507 of the family's 1533-position model. The record is from RNAcentral.